RNAcentral lists this ribosomal RNA (403 nucleotides) under uncultured bacterium. Its description in RNAcentral is "partial 16S ribosomal RNA". It matches the Rfam family "Bacterial small subunit ribosomal RNA", at positions 30 to 526 of the family's 1533-position model. The record is from RNAcentral.
AUUGAACGCUGGCGGCAGGCCUAACACAUGCAAGUCGAGCGAGCGGCGGACGGGUGAGUAAUGUAUGGGGACUGCCCGAUAGAGGGGGAUAAAUACUGGAAACGGUGGCUAAUACCGCAUACUAUCGGAUAACCCAUAUGGGAUUAGCUAGUAGGUGGGGUAAAGGCUCACCUAGGCGACGAUCUCUAGCUGGUCUGAGAGGAUGAUCAGCCACCCUGUGACUUAGACACGGCCCAGACUCCUACGGAGUCAGCAGUGGGGAAUAUUUCACAAUGGGCGCCAGCCUGAUUCAGCCAGCCCGCGUGGAUGAAGAAGGCCUUAGGGUUGUAAAGGACUUUCAGCGGGGAGGCGUUACCCGCAGAAGAAGCACCGGGUAACUCCGGGCCAGCCGCCGCGGUAAUAC